RNAcentral lists this transfer RNA (77 nucleotides) under Leifsonia sp. ku-ls. RNAcentral describes it as "tRNA-Asp". It matches the Rfam family "tRNA". From Rfam's summary of the family: Transfer RNA (tRNA) molecules are approximately 80 nucleotides in length. Their secondary structure includes four short double-helical elements and three loops (D, anti-codon, and T loops). Lineage: Bacteria; Bacillati; Actinomycetota; Actinomycetes; Micrococcales; Microbacteriaceae. The record is from RNAcentral.
GGCCCUGUAGCGCAGUCGGUUAGCGUGCCGCCCUGUCACGGCGGAGGUCGCGGGUUCAAGUCCCGUCAGGGUCGCCA